Molecule: ribosomal RNA, 403 nt
Filed under: uncultured bacterium
Lineage: Bacteria
Description: bacterial SSU rRNA
Rfam family: Bacterial small subunit ribosomal RNA
Source: RNAcentral
UCUUCGGCAAUGGACGAAAGUCUGACCGAGCAACGCCGCGUGAGUGAAGAAGGUUUUCGGAUCGUAAAACUCUGUUGUUAGAGAAGAACGUUGCAUAGAGUGGAAAAUUAUGCAAGUGACGGUAUCUAACCAGAAAGGGACGGCUAACUACGUGCCAGCAGCCGCGGUAAUACGUAGGUCCCGAGCGUUGUCCGGAUUUAUUGGGCGUAAAGCGAGCGCAGGUGGUUUAAUAAGUCUGAUGUAAAAGGCAGUGGCUCAACCAUUGUGUGCAUUGGAAACUGUUAGACCUGAGUGCAGUAGAGGAGAGUGGAAUUCCAUGUGUAGCGGUGAAAUGCGUAGAUAUAUGGAGGAACACCGGUGGCGAAAGCGGCUCUCUGGACUGUCACUGACACUGAGGCUCGAA